Molecule: ribosomal RNA, 418 nt
Filed under: Planorbis planorbis
Lineage: Eukaryota; Metazoa; Mollusca; Gastropoda; Planorbidae
Description: partial large subunit ribosomal RNA
Rfam family: Archaeal large subunit ribosomal RNA (bases 1-139)
Source: RNAcentral
AACAUAGUUUUAUGUAUUUAUAUAAAAUAUUUUCUGCCCAAUGUUUUUAAAAAAAAUCAAUGGCCGCAGUACCUUGACUGUGCUAAGGUAGCAUAAUCAAUUGGCUUUUAAUUAAGGUCUAGAAUGAAUGGGAUAAUGAAGUUAAUCUGUCUUAGUUGCUUUUAUUAAAAUUUAUUUAAAAGGUGAAAAUACCUUUUUUAAAAAUAAAGACGAGAAGACCCUUAGAAUUUUUAUUAUUUUUUUUUGUUGGGGCGACAGUUUAAAAUAUAAUCUUAAAUUUAUUGUAUAUAUAUAACGAUUUUUUUAAUAGAAAUUAAAUUACCUUAGGGAUAACAGCAUAAUUAAUUAUUUAGUUUGUGACCUCGAUGUUGGACUAGGAACUAUAUGACUAACCGUCUAAUUAGAUUUGUUCUGUUCG